Molecule: long non-coding RNA, 2769 nt
Filed under: Lynx pardinus (Iberian lynx)
Lineage: Eukaryota; Metazoa; Chordata; Mammalia; Carnivora; Felidae
Source: RNAcentral
CGCUUAACCGACUGCGCCACCCAGGCGCCCCUUCAUUUUGUUUUAAGGCAGCUUGCGUGAGCGUCACACGUGCACCCAUCCUGACGACAGGGUACAUACAUGCUCUUGUCUCCAGUGCUGCUGUUCUUUUUGUCCCCAGCACGAAUAAGAUGCUCCAGUGAGCCAGAGGCAGGAACAAGUGUUUCACUUUUCAUAGCUGGGAGCUGGGAGAAAUCACCAGCCGACGAUUUAUUUUAACCCAGAAAGUAAAAAAGUAUAUGUUUCUUUUUACUGCAGGUGCGCUAAACGGUAACAUGACAAACAGGAAUAUGUAUUGCCUGUCCUUCUGUCUUUUCGCGAUAGGGUGCUAACACAAUGAGGUGUGUUCUUUUUACUCUGCCACGGCCCAUUCAUUCGCUAGGAUUGACAACCUGGUGUGCGUUGAUCUUAACCAUAAAUCAGUUUCUGAUGGUGUCUUGGAUGUGCACUGUGCCUUGUAGACUCAAGCUAACGUUACUGCUUCUGUUGCACCCUCAUUGAAACGUCUGUGAAGAAGCACUAGCAGGUUAAGGAUCCCCAACUUUGGAAAAGGAACGUGAUGUGAAACUAGAAUUCUCUGUUAAAAAGGUAUGGUUACUUUUUAAAGAGGAGGCGGGACUCAGUCGGCGAAGCGUGCGACUCCUGAUCUCGUGGUUGCAAGUUCGAGCCCCACGUUGGGUGUAGAGAUUACUUUAAAAUAAAAAUAAAAAUCGGGGCGCGUGAGGGGCUCAGUCGGUUAAGCCUCUGACUUGGGCCCAGGUCAUGAUCUUACGGUUCUUCGUGAGUUCGAGCCCCGCAUAGGGCUCUGUGCUGACAGUUUAGAGCCUGGAGCCUCCUUGGGGUUGUUAUUAGCAAAAGAAAAGAAAGGAUUGCUGUAGGCCAGGACAUCUGCUUUGGAGGGGUGGGCAGUGCCGGUGUUUAUCAUGCAGGUUACAUGACCAGUGCUGAGGGAAACAUUUCAGGUUGACUGUUAGAAAGUCACAUUCCUGGGAGAGGUGGAAACUAAAUCUCGGCUUGCUGUCCUCGGUGGGGGGCAAGUGACUCCAGUUUGGGCUUUUUUUUAAAACAAUAAAUUACUUUAGUUGACUUGCUGAUGUUUCUCAGAUUAUAGUGUACCUUGCUAUGAUUUUUAAAAUUUUUUUUAAUGUUUAUUUAUUUGAGAGAGAGAGAGAGAGAGAGAGAGAGAGAGAGAGAGAGAGAAUAUGAGCGGGGGACGGGCAGAGAGAAAGGGACCCACGGAAUCCGAAGCAGGCUUCAGGCUCUGAGCUAUCAGCACAGAGCCUGACGUGGGACGCGAACUCACCAACCACGAGAUCAUGACCUGAGCCGAAGUCGGACGCUCAACCGACCGAGCCACCCAGGCACCCCUAUCUUGCUCUGAUUAUACCAAAGUUAGUUGAUGCCUGCUCUCUUAAUUUGUCUUCUGUUCUUUAGCCUUGUGGAAUUUUGCAAAUUACAGAAGUAGUACAUGCCUGUCAGAAGCUGGGACAAACAGUACAGAAGUGUAUUAAAGAGAGUUAGGCGCCCCCUGCACAUGCUUCGAGGCGCUCAGGGGUAAGAGCUUGGCAGGCAUCUGUGCACCUUUCCUUGCAUUUUUUUUUUUUUUCACGCUCAGAUACUCCUUUAUGUGGGUUUCCCCCUCCCUUUGUUCCCUCCUUCUGUUAAAAAUGGAGUCACUUACGUUAAACCCCACCAAAACUUAGUACCCAGGCUAAUUGCAGCUUCCCAGCUUCUCCCAGAAAUGUGGUCCUUAACCAACCUGGGACUUUUCUGCUGGACCCUCCCAUUCCCCUUAGGGGGGUGACCUUGCCUAAAACAAUGCAUUCUUUGCUAAGAAUACCGGCCCACCCACCCCCACCUUUGAAACCCUCGGCUGCAGCUCAGUGGAGCUCCUUACUAUCUGCUAGAUGGAGUGCUGGCAAUUUGAUCUUUACAUUUACUCCGUUGAAUUUUUUUCUUUUCUUUUUUCUUUUUUUCUCGUUUUUAAGUAUUUAUUAUCGAGAGACAGAGCACGAGCAGGGGAGGGGCAGAGAGAGAGGAGAGAGCGAGAAUCCCAAGCCGGCUCCUCACCGCCAGCACAGAGCCGGACACGGGGUUCAAACUCAUGAACUGGGAGAUCAUGACCUGAGCCACCCAGGCGCCCCAUGCCAGCCUUUCUUUUAAACAAAAGCGAGAUAAUUCCUCUGGAGAGACAUCCAAAAAGCUAUUCAACAGGUUCCCUCAAGGAAGGGAAACGUGAAACUUGGGAACAGAGGUGCAAGGGAGAUUGAGUUUUGACUGUGCCCUUUUGUGUUGUAGGGGCCAAGGCCGACUGCCCCCAAGAUGUGCCACUUUGGUCACGCAGAUCAUGCCGAGCUGAAAACAAUCCAGGCCCAGAAGACGCAGGGAGAAAUUUUGACCUUGCCCCCAAAACUGCCUCAAAGAAAUGAGAUUGGGGACGUGCUCCGGGAAGGGAGCCAUUGCCAUACUUACCUACAUUAUAAUGUGAAGUAGGUAUGGUGGAGAGCGAGGAAUUCAGCAAAGUUCGGUUGAUCAAAAUCUUCCCUGUGUCCCAUUGUUUCUGGAUGACCCAGUCAACAUUUAUUUACCACGUUCGCUCUUUUUCAUUCUUCCUGUGAGCAUUCCUUCCCUUUGUAGUCUCAGACUCCUUCCUCCUCCUUAGUUCAGGGUGACUUCGCACUGCCUGGCUGUCUUUGGAAUCUUACGCGUGUGUGGAUUCCCUAUGCCCCUGAAAUUAAAUUUGAUUUUCUC